UACGGAGGGUGCAAGCGUUAUCCGGAUUCACUGGGUUUAAAGGGUGCGUAGGUGGGCAGGUAAGUCAGUGGUGAAAUCUCCGGGCUUAACCCGGAAACCGCCAUUGAUACUAUUUGUCUUGAAUACCGUGGAGGUCAGCGGAAUAUGUCAUGUAGCGGUGAAAUGCUUAGAUAUGACAUAGAACACCAAUUGCGAAGGCAGCUGGCUACACGAAUAUUGACACUGAUGCACGAAAGCGUGGGGAUCAAACAGG
RNAcentral lists this ribosomal RNA (253 nucleotides) under uncultured bacterium. RNAcentral's name for it is "partial 16S ribosomal RNA". It matches the Rfam family "Bacterial small subunit ribosomal RNA", at positions 524 to 776 of the family's 1533-position model. The record is from RNAcentral.